CUCCUACGGGAGGCUGCAGUGAGGAAUAUUGGUCAAUGGGCGCAAGCCUGAACCAGCCAUCCCGCGUGCAGGAAGACGGCCCUAUGGGUUGUAAACUGCUUUUCCAGGGGACGAAUAGCUUUUACGUGUAAGGGCAUGACGGUACCUUGGGAAUAAGCAUCGGCUAACUCCGUGCCAGCAGCCGCGGUAAUACGGAGGAUGCGAGCGUUAUCCGGAUUCAUUGGGUUUAAAGGGUGCGUAGGCGGACUGAUAAGUCAGUGGUGAAAUCCUGCAGCUUAACUGUAGAACUGCCAUUGAUACUGUUAGUCUUGAGUUUGGUUAAGGUAGGCGGAAUGUGUAAUGUAGCGGUGAAAUGCUUAGAUAUUACACAGAACACCGAUUGCGUAGGCAGCUUACUGGACCGACACUGACGCUGAGGCACGAAAGCGUGGGGAUCGAACAGGAUUAGAUACCCUGGUAGUCCACGCCGUAAACGAUGAUUACUCGCUGUUGGCGAUACACAGUCAGCGGCUAAGCAAAAGCAAUAAGUAAUCCACCUGGGGAGUACGGCCGCAAGGUUGAAACUCAAAGGAAUUGACGGGGGCCCGCACAAGCGGAGGAACAUGUG
This 607-nucleotide ribosomal RNA is filed under the name uncultured bacterium. RNAcentral describes it as "bacterial SSU rRNA". It matches the Rfam family "Bacterial small subunit ribosomal RNA", at positions 336 to 943 of the family's 1533-position model. The record is from RNAcentral.